Non-coding RNA from Camellia sinensis, 474 nucleotides. NCBI's taxonomy places the organism in Eukaryota, Viridiplantae, Streptophyta, Magnoliopsida, Ericales, Theaceae. The record is from RefSeq and is a predicted model, not a curated record.
CGCUCGCUCGCUCAAUUGCAGAUUUUGCGUUGUAUGUUCUUCAUCAAUGUUGAUCGAAGCUCAAACAACCCUCGAUUUGAAGCUCAAGCACACAGAACUCAACCGCAGCAGUUUGCUUUAGCUGUUCUUCAUCAAUCGCAACGAUCUCUGUUCUUCAUCGAUCUCGAGGCUAAUCGAGUGAGGACGUGGCACCAGAUAGUCCAGAAUCCGAUCUCUUCGUAUAUUACUGCAAGCACUGCGAAUCUCAUGUCCUCAUCAAUGAUCCAAAAUCCAAAAUCGAUUUGUUCUAGUUGAUCUCUCUUGCUCUUAUCUCAGAGUCUGAGUAUGAGCUCUAUCUUGAGGGGAUAGAAGGAUUGUUUAAUUUGGAAAGGGGAAAACCAUGGAAUUUUUGAAGGUUACCACAAUUUGGGAGACCAUCUUCUUUGUUAUAGUGUGGACUCUUUGGAAUUCAAGAAACAGUGUCACAUUCAGAAA